CAGUAGCCGCGGGAAUACGAGGGGGGCAAGCGUUGUUCGGAAUUAUUGGGCGUAAAGGGUGCGUAGGCGGCUUGACAAGUCUUGUGUGAAAUCUAUGGGCUCAACCCAUAGUCUGCACGGGAAACUGUCGGGCUUGAGAAUGGGAGAGGUGAGUGGAAUUUCCGGUGUAGCGGUGAAAUGCGUAGAUAUCGGAAGGAACACCUGUGGCGAAAGCGGCUCACUGGACCAUUUCUGACGCUGAUGCACGAAAGCUAGGGGAGCAAACAGGAUUAGAUACCCCCGUAGUCCCUGUCUCUUAUAC
This 301-nucleotide ribosomal RNA is filed under the name uncultured bacterium. RNAcentral describes it as "partial 16S ribosomal RNA". It matches the Rfam family "Bacterial small subunit ribosomal RNA", at positions 509 to 807 of the family's 1533-position model. The record is from RNAcentral.